Molecule: ribosomal RNA, 497 nt
Filed under: uncultured bacterium
Lineage: Bacteria
Description: partial 16S ribosomal RNA
Rfam family: Bacterial small subunit ribosomal RNA
Source: RNAcentral
GAUGAACGCUGGCGGCGUGCCUAAUACAUGCAAGUCGAGCGAACAGACGAGGAGCUUGCUCCUCUGACGUUAGCGGCGGACGGGUGAGUAACACGUGGAUAACCUACCUAUAAGACUGGGAUAACUUCGGGACACCGGAGCUAAUACCGGAUAAUAUAUUGAUCCGCAUGGUUCAAUAGUGAAAGACGGUUUUGCUGUCUCUUAUAGAUGGAUCCGCGCCGCAUUAGCUAGUUGGUAAGGUAACGGCUUACCAAGGCGACGAUGCGUAGCCGACCUGAAAGGGUGAUCGGCCACACUGGAACUGAGACACGGUCCAGACUCCUACGAGAGGCAGCAGUAGGGAAUCUUCCGCAAGGGGCGAAAGCCGGACGGAGCAACGCCGCGUGAGUGAUGAAGGUCUUCGGAUCGUAAAGCUCUGUUAUUAGGGAAGAACAAAUGUGUAAGUAACUAUGCACGUCUUGACGGUACCGAAUCAAAAAGCCACGGCUAACUACGUG